RNAcentral lists this long non-coding RNA (40451 nucleotides) under Populus trichocarpa (black cottonwood). RNAcentral's name for it is "long non-coding RNA (PTRI_LNC001436)". Lineage: Eukaryota; Viridiplantae; Streptophyta; Magnoliopsida; Malpighiales; Salicaceae. The record is from RNAcentral.
GUGUGUGUGUGUGUGUGUGUGUAUUUUGGCCAGAUUCCAUCCAUGAAGUCGCACGCCAAGUUUUUAGGAGCCACACUACUAGUUGAACAACACAGCAAGCUUGUGGAUGGCUAAAAAUGGUAAUGUUGCGUCUUAAAUUAACAGUGAAAAAAGAAAAGAGCGUGUUUUCUUGUUCUUGAUUUUGAUCUAGAAAAUUGAACGAAAUGUUUUGGAUAGUUUUGCUGAGUUUCAGUUGAUUUUGUUAUUCCUGUCCUUGAAAUGUUGAUAACUGGGAACAUGCUCUUGUAAUCAUGUCCUUGAAAUGGUGGCCAUUGAAAUACGGAAAGGAUCUCCACCGGAUUCCUCGAGGAUAACUAGGAGGUUUCCUGAAGGUUCAAGGAACGCUCGAGCAACAUGGUGCCUAAUAGAGAAAGGAAAGGAAAUGUGCGCAUUAAUCAACAUAAGUUCGAAUAUGUUGUUAAAUUUUUAGGACUUGUGUGCACGAGUAUGAGGUUUAUUAUUACUAAUUAUCAUGUCAAGAUCAGAAUCCUAGGUUUAUAACUAGCCACAUAAAAGUGGUAUAGUAAAGAUAUUUUAUUUAUGUACAUAUCAUAUAACAAAUUAUAUAAAACUUUUGCAGCGUUUCAAUGAUUUUCAAAAUAUUAUAUUAUUCAAAAUCAAUAAAAUCAAAUAACACUUCAAAAAUUCUAAUAAUUAGAUAAAGCAAAACAAAUAAUUCAUAAUACUUAUUACAUUGUCAAAAUCUGAAUUUAAUUAAAACAGUGUAAUAAUGAAGUGUUUAAGAUAUCAAAUCAAAACUAAAAGGAAAGUCUCGCGAAACAAGCAAAGCAUACCGACAAAAAUAAAAAAACAUGAACACUCAACAAAGUUCACUUGCUAACGGAAACUAAGAACAUGAAAUAAUAUUAAAAAUAGAGGGGUGAGUUCAACUAACUCAGUGAGAGAAUACCAUUUAAUAUACAUUUUAGCUAUUUAUAAGUAUAAGCCAUCAAUUGUGAUAAUAUAGAAGUAAAAUGACUGAAACAAAAGUAAACAUACACAUAUUAAGCAUACUAAUAUAAAGUAGUGGAAUACAUGUCAGAGAUCAGAUGAUACCCGAAGAUGACCACUAUGGAAGGAUCAGUCAUCAUAGGCUAGUGCCUUUCUUAUCAGCUAUGUAUAUAGAAUACUAUGUGCAUAUAGAAUAACUACUCUUCGUUAGCAUAGAGUUACUAACAAGUAUAUCGAUAUCGAGACAUAAUAGAUACUCAUAUAAUUAUCAAAGCAAUGUAUAUCAUAUUGAAUAGAAUUUAGUUCAACAGAAUGAGAAUGUAAAUUCAAUAAAAUGACUAAAAUAAUCUAAUUUAACAAACCCAAUAAAACUCUAUUAUUGAGUCAACUAGUAGACCAAAAUGACCAACCGAUCGACCGCUAUCACAAGCCAACCAAUAAUAACAAGCAAACUGGUCGACCGGUUGAUUGAGAUUCCUAGAAUCUCGAUCUGCCACUCUUCAAAUUUGCAGAUCUCAAAACAAACGACUUAUUCCUCUAAAACGCAUAAUUCUAGUCAUCAAAUUAGUUUGUUUUAAGCUAACUAACAUUCCAAUGCUUUAACUAGAACUUCUAGAUCAUUCAAUCAUCAAAAUCUUAACAAAACCCUAAUUUCUUCUUUAAUCAUUCUAUAUUCAAAUUCCUAAUAAAAAAUAAUGUAAGACGAAUCAAUUAGUUGCUUCUUCAACAUUUCUUGAACCAAAACUCAAGCUAAAACUGAAAUCCUUGGUGUAUAUGGUUGUAAGUCACGACAAGGAAGAAGAAAAGAAAAGAGAAAAAGCAAAUCCUCUUGCAACCUUUUUUUUAUAUACCUAGGUUAGUUUUGUUAGGUUUGGGCUGUCAAGAGUUUGAGUCUUACAUGUCAUCUUAAUACACUUAUCAUUUAUAUUUUCUACUUUGUAUUACACUCUAUUAUAAAGAUUGAUUCUAGUUAUAUUCACCAUUUCCUACUUUGUCUCAUCAAACUUCUUGCUUCUUAAAUUGAGCAUUGACAAGCAUGUGUAUACUGGGACAAUGCUACCAUAUACAUGUUUAGUAAACCUUUUAGGGCCUAUUUAUCCAGACAACUAGGAAUCCUUUUAAGACAAAUAGGUUAGCUAACUAGCCAACAAGUAAUGGCUAGAACAUUUCCCUUAGAGUCUCCCUAUAAUACAACAUUAAGUAAGCAUGUUGUCUAUGAGAUUUCAUAAGAGAUGUGACAGGACAAUAUCAAGAUAAAAAAAAAAAACCGAUCGAUUGUGUAAGGCACACAGUUGAAACCUCCAUUAGAUUCGGAAACUAAGGACGAGAUUACCAUCGCAUCGGCUUGGAUGUCCCGAAUGCUCUCGGGUCGCCUCAUAUUUUCCUUAAAUCUAAUUAAUCAGCACCGGGUGGUGAUGGAGAUUUAUUGCGGCCUUCUCCUAUUCAUCAACUCGAACCUCAUUCUUCUGCAGUUGAUGUUACGAUCAAUCGUGCUUUUUAGGCCAUCUGCUGAUUGUCAGCUUAUUCAGCUGAUGUACUUAACAUUUUAUUAUCAAUGAAAUUGAUAAACUCUUAUAAAAAAAAAAAUGAAAACGACAUCACAAGAAAUCCAAUCAUUACAAGUUUUCAAGAUAAAAUAUUAUUAUAACCUAACAUGAAAGAGUUUUUGAAACGUAACAUGUUAUCCGAUCACUUUAAAAGUUUAUCUUAUUUUCAAAUAAAUAAAAUCUUAAGCUUAUUUUUUUUUAAAAUAGGGUUAAAAGCGUUAAACUAUUUCUAUAUUUUCUAAAAGUUUAGAUUACCUUUUUCUUCUUCUAAUUUUACCCGUUUUGAAUUAUAAUUCAUCGAGAUGUUCAUGAGACAAGAAGACCCAUGGUGGAGAAUGUCUUUGCACGUCAUGGUGGCGUGAUUAAAUUCCCUCGAGCGUGGAAAAGAACGAAGAGCAGAGCUAGUGAUCAAUAAUUAAUCAGUGCAUGUACGUAUAAUAACUUAAACCUAAAUUGACUUUCUUGUUCCCCUAAUAUAUUAUUAUAAUUUUUAAACCUAAAAUUUGAUGAAUGAUAAAGAUGACAAGGAACUGAGAGGACUUCCUUUUCCGAUCAGCUGAAGCCCAGUAGCGAAGGAAGAUGACACCACACACCGCUGAGUUACGGCCCAUUUGAGGAUUUUAUUAUGCUGGCAACAUAUAAAAAAAUUAUUUACAGAAAUGAUUAUUUUUUGCUGAUUUAGUUUUUAUUUAUAAAAAUAAUCAAACUAAAAUUUUAUAAAAUAUAAAAAAUAAAAUCUAAAUCAGUUCAAACCGACCGGUUUCGAUUCAGUUCGGUUAUUUUAUAUUAAAAAUCAAAACCCAACCGAUCUAUUUCAGUUUGGUUUUGGUUCGGUUUUGUUAUUUCAUAUUAAAAAAAAUUGUAUUGUUUUUUGGGAUUUUUUGUACUUUCUAAUGGGUUCAGUUUGGUUUUUCGGUGAUUCGGUUGAGAUUUUUCGGUUUCAAACCUGUGAAAUCAAAACUGAACUGAAUAUUUUUUUAAAAUAUUUCAAUUAAUUUAAUCGUUUUUUUUAUGAUUCGAUUUUUUUAAUUAUUUUUUAUUGUUUUCUCAGUUUAAUUGAUUUGUCAGUUUUUUACGCACUUCUAACUUCAAUAUUCAAGAAAGAAAUUUGCCGCCAAAGGAUGAAGAUUAUUUUAUAUUUAACAAAAAAAAAAAGAAUAGUCAAUUAAAGAUUAAAAACACAUGAAAAACAAUUUGGGCUGCAAGAAUUUGUCCUCCUAAUUAAUACAUUGUUGACUCUCAAGCUAGCAUGUAUGAGUAACAUUGAUUGCUCAGUAAACGUCUUUAAUUUUAUUACUAAUCUUUUGUCUAAAAAGAUAUUUUCAUGUUUAUUAUACAUCAAUUAUUUUUCUUUUCAAUAUUUAUAAAUAUUUUAUGAUAUUUUAAAAUAAAAUAAGCAUGCGAGACUGGUUGACUCGUUGCUGCCCACGGUCUCACUUAGAAAAAUAAUUUUGCAACCCUAUUUAGUAUUUAGGGCUUUUCCAUGGGUCGGGUAACUUACCCAAUCCACCCUAGAAAGAAAAACCAGGAGUAGGUCACUACUAAAACAUUUGGCCCAUUAACCAUGGUUAAGAUUAUUUCUUUUUUGUUCCUUAUCAGAAUUAUGGUUAGGGUUUUGGUUGGGUUAAGUUCAUUUUAUAUUUUACAGCUCAUUUUUCGAACUAAAAAAUAUCAAUAAAUCAGUAAUAUUUUGACUGGUUUCAAAAUAAACAAAUAAAGAUACGGCGUGCGCGUAUAAUUCUUGAAAAUAGUCUCCUUGUCCAUUAUGUUGACCACACGAGCGUAUAUAGGCUAAUCAAUAUUAUUUUUUUCCCCUUGGAAAAUGAAUUAAGUAGUCGGUGGGUUAAUAUGCAGAUAUAUUUUAUGAUACUUACAAUAUAAAAAAUAUAUAAUAAGAAGAGAGAAACAUAAGAGAUUAAAAAUAACUUUUUUAAUUAAUAGACGAGAUAAUUUUUAUAAUGUUUUGGUAAAAAUUAUAUCUCUUUCUUGGUAAGAAUUAUAAUUAACUAGUGACCUCGCAAUUAUAUUAUCCAAUAUGAGACAAAAUACAAAAAUAAUAGAGAAAAUUUAAUAGAAAAGGAUUGACAAGGGACAUUAAAAACAAGAUUGAAGUCACAAAAGGGAAUUAAUUAAAAAACUUGUAGUUUAGGAAAGAAAUUGACAGAAGUCCAAAACCUAGCCAGAACUUGGUAGUCUACGUACCGAAUGAAUUAAUUAUGCUGGUGUAUACUUAACAAUUUUUUGAUUAUCUUUCCGCUAGUUAUAAAUAAAAAAAACUACAGCCACGCGUGACCUCAAAUUCUGAGAGAAGCAGUGAUGUCAUGGAGCUCACAAGUUUCCGGAAUACUACUUUAAUGCCCAAAGCAGAUCCUGGAUCCCUCGGAAGACAAAUCGACAAGUCGAGUCAAGAUUGGCUGCUUGCAUAAGAUCAUGAAGAACCUUCGAAGAAGGAGGUGCUUAGAACAGUGACACCAUGUUCGUUUCACUUGGACCUCUCCCAUCCUUUCGCCUAAGAACAACUAGCUGCUAGCUACCUCUCUUGAUUGUGAUGUUUUCAAGCAGCAUUCACGCCUGAUAAAAUCACAAUCUUUAAUUAGCAUCGACAUUCUCCACUUGUUCAUCUAUAUUAAUCAUAAUAGAAUCACACCUUUUAAUUUGGCAAGAGGAAAAGAAACGGCGUAGUGAUGAAUACAUCAUGAACAGUGUAGUUCCAUCAACUGGGAUGUAAUGUGAUCAAAGACAGCAGCAUCAUGAGUGUAAAGAAAUUGGACAGGAACAUGCAAAAGUGGAUCAAUGAUGUCUGUAAAAUAUACAAGUCUCGGCUAGUUUAGCCAGUAGAAUGUCGCGGCAGAGUAAAGUGCACGAAUAAUUAAAGAUGUUGAAAUAAAGUCAUGCCACUUUGGAAAGGAAUUAUAGAUAGAUCCAAGAGCUGUUGAUCAUAGAGCUAGGCCCAGUAGCCAUGAAAACGUUUAGCAUUAUAUAUCGAAUGUCUCAGAUAAAUCCUUCCCCGAAGAAGGGAUGAUCCAGUGCAAAUGUAUCUAGCUAGCUAGCUAGGCUGGCCGACAACUUCCUAGUAACUUCCACAUGCUUAUCCAGGCACAUAUGUCAGGCACUACGUACCGACAUAUAAUAUAUGUAUCCAUCGCACCUUUUGCUUUCCUUUUGCCCAUUUGGAGAUAUGUGGAAUUGUCGACAUGGCUCUUCGAGGGGGAUCAAGUGACAUUAUUUUAUAGCUUUGAAUAGACAUGGAGGGAUGCUUUUUUAUUAAGAAAAGACCCUUCGUGCGCGCCAAGCAGCUCCUCUUGCCUGCAUGCAUGGUAUAUGAAUUCGAUCAAGCCACCAGGCUUGGUUUUUUUUGUUUUUUCUUUCUUCCCUCGAUGGAGGCGAAUAUCAUAAAAUAAAUUCACGGGAAUAUAUCAGCUUGGGAGCUAAUAUUCCAAUUAAAAUAUGCAAAAAGUAAGUCUAAAACUCGAGAUGAAAGGGAUUAAAUUUAAUCAGCUGUAUUUGAUUAAUUAGUCAGAUUAAUAAUAUCCAGGGUUAUGUCUAUGUCGACUAUAUUUCGCAUUUCUUUUAUUCGAAAGAAAAAUAAAAUAAAAUAAAAUCGGACCAUCAUGGGUGAGUUCACAGAGCAUGCUCUGAAUAAGAAAAAAAAAAACCCCCUGCAGCCUCCAUUUUAGUUGGGUGUCGUUGAUCUGGUCCCACGUCAUCUUCCCUGUCUUUUACGCUGGACUCAACUUCUUAUUAUUAUUAUUAUCAAUUACUAAUCGAGUGUUUCUUCCCUGGUUAAUAUUUAUCCUUAAAUAUGCGACCACCCAACCAACCAUCUUGCCCAUAGCUACGUGGAGCACACACAGGCACACCAUGUAAAUGUUCAUUAGUGUGAUGAAAUUCAAGGAAGUGGUCGUUGAAUUAUACUAAAUUUGAAAUUAUUGUCACCAUUAUUUUGAUAUCACAUGAUGCAUUACUUUGAAAUUAAAAAAAAAAAAAAACAAUAUCACGGGUGAUUAUAGUGGAAGACGACCCUUUAGGCAUACUUAAUUGGUUCUACAACUCUAGGAUACCAUUAUUUCGAGUGGUCGCGCUAUGCUGCGGUCUAAUUAAAAAUUAAUUUAAUUAUAAAAAAAAUUAUGAAUAAUAUGAAAUGUUUUAUUGAUGAUAAAAGAAUCUGGAAAGCGCAUUAAAAACUUGGCCAGUGUAUUAAAUAAAAUCAAUUAAUUAUUAUAUGUAUUAAUAAAUGUUAAAAAGAGAUGCUAACAAUAAACAAAAACUGAACCGGGAUUCCAAGCAAUAGAUGCAGAAAAAUUGUGAUUCUCAUGUGAUUCAAGAUCUUUAUUUAAUCAUGUAUCAUUUUAAAAUAGAUCAUCAUAAAUCAUAAAAAACAAAUAAAAUAUAACAUGUACAAAAAUUUAUAUAAAAAACAAAUAAAAUAUAAUAUAUACAAAAAUUUAAAACUCCAUGUGCAAGGAUUGGUAUCAUGAUAUAUAUAUAUAUAUUAGACAUGGUCAAGGAUAUCCGGUCCGAUCCAUGAUAUUAUUCUUCCCAGCUGCCAUAAGAAGGCACGACUGACUUUUCUCUUCACUCUUUUUUUUUUUUCUAAUAUGAUUUUUAUGUAAGUGCUGACGUUUAGCGACAGUAUCCAAUAUCACUAGGAGGAAAAAAAAAACAAAUAUGACGUCAUCUAUCCUACGUGGGUUCCAAUGACGCUGACGUGUAAUUCAAAGCCACUAACGACAUCUCAUUCUCCUACACCCAAUUCCAGGCUUAAAUCUCAAGACUCUCCAUUGACAACUCCAAUCUUUGGCCUCAAGGAAGUGUCUCGUACGUGCCAGUAUCCUAUUGGUGGAGCUUGAAGGGAUGAAUCAGGCUUGACUGUAGAUGAUUAGGGUUUUGACCAUGACAAAAAAAACGAAAAACAGUCAGCGAAGCCCAAGAGACAGUUGACGGCCGACUUUCAAGUAAGGAGUGGACAAGGGCUGUGACGGAAGCGAUGACAAAAGCAAUCGCACGUGGCAAGCUCUUAUUAGAGGAGUGGUGCACGUAUCACGGUUCACAGGCUGCGUUCAGCCAAGGGCGGAAAUCAAGCCCCCUGACAAACAAACUCCCACGUUUUGUCUGUAGAUAAACACGGACCCCACGUGUCCUAAGAAAUAUGUCUUCUGUAUUUGUCCUUUUCCAAGUCCUUUAUAAAAGCUCGUUUCUCUCUGGGAAGGCAUCAUAAACAUAAAGCAGAGCUAAAACAGGGAGCAGAAGAAAAAGAAAAAGAAGAAGAAACAAGCACAAGCCAAGCAAGAAGUAGCUAGCUUAGAGCUCGAGCUCCAAGACAGAGAAAAAAAGAGUAGGAAGAACAAUUUAAAAGCUGGGAAUGAAGGUAAAUGGAUCAGCAGCAGCAGAUCAGUUGGAGUUACCAGCUGGAUUUAGAUUUCAUCCAACAGAUGAUGAGUUGGUGAAUCAUUACUUGAUUAAGAAAUGUGGAGGCCAAUCAAUUUCUGUUCCUAUUAUUGCUGAGAUUGAUCUUUACAAGUAUGAUCCUUGGCAGCUUCCAGGUAAUUUUUUGGGAUUUUUCAAUGAUUUCUUUAGAGUUUCAAUUGUGGUUUUAAGAUUAGAUUUGAGAGAUUGAUUUAACUUGGAGAAAAGGGUUUUAGCUCAGCUUGUUUGAUUUCUUGGUUUUUUUUUUUAAAGAUUUCAACUCGAUUUUUAAAUUUUAAUAUUCAGAAAAGAAAAGGUUUUUUUUUCUUUUUUGGAUGAGAUCUUCUUUACCAUUCGUUUUUUUAGAGUUACAGUCAAAUGGAUAUUUCCGUACCUUCACACAAUUAAGUUUUAGAGAUAAUAAAAACCCAGAAACCCAGAAAUAUUUCAUGAAUUUUCUUAGCCAUUUGUUCAUCAAUUUGAUACAUAGAUCUAUGAUCUAAACAAGUGGACGAGAAAGAUUUCAAAAUUCUCGAUUUGGUUUCCUGAUUUUUUUUGGACGACUAAUAAUUAUUUGGUAAAUUUCUUUUUGUUUUUCAGAAAUGGCACUGUAUGGUGAAAAGGAAUGGUACUUCUUUUCUCCAAGGGAUAGAAAAUAUCCAAACGGUUCAAGGCCGAACCGGGCGGCUGGAACCGGGUAUUGGAAAGCAACCGGAGCAGAUAAACCCAUUGGUCGGCCCAAACCACUUGGCAUAAAAAAAGCACUUGUAUUUUACGCCGGCAAAGCUCCCAGAGGAAUCAAAACCAAUUGGAUCAUGCACGAAUACCGCCUUGCUAAUGUUGAUAGGUCUGCUGGCAAGAAAAAUAACCUAAGGGUACUUCCUUUAUUCUUCUCCUUCUCCUCCUUCAUCUUUUUAACCCAUAUAUUAAUUUAUUGUAUAAUUUAGUGUAAUUGACACGGAAUAUUUCGUUAUUGCAGCUAGAUGAUUGGGUAUUGUGCAGAAUAUACAACAAGAAAGGAAGCAUAGAGAAGCAUUUUCCUGCAGAUAGAAAAUCAAUAACAAAGUAUGCUGAAAUGGAAGAGCAAAAGCCCAACAUAAAUGAAAUGUCUGGUUACAAGAAUGGAGGGUCAACAAUGGGAGCACCAACGAUGAUGAUGAGUAAUAGCAAUGACUUGUUAAAUAUGGACACGUCCGAUUCAACACCAAGGUUGCAUACAGACUCAAGUUGUUCGGAGCAGGUGCUGUCACCUGAGCUCACUUGCGAGAGGGAGGUUCAGAGCCAGCCAAAAUCAUGGAAUGAUCAGCUAGAUAGUGCAUUUGAUUUCAACUUCAAUUACAUUGAUGAUGGCUUCCAAGACGACCCUUUUGCCUCACAAGUUCAGUUCCAAAUGGACCAGCUCUCACCUCUGCAGGACAUGUUCAUGUAUUUACAGAGGCCGCUUUGAUUUUUUAUCACCAGAAAAAGAAGAAGAAAAAAAGACCUACAUAUUAAUUUUAUAGGUAAAAAUAGCACACACCGUUGUAUUCUUGCAUGUGGGCCCGGACAAUCUUAGCCUGGAGUCUGCAGAUGGAGGUGACAUUUGUGGGAGAUCAAAGGGAUGGAGUCUCAGAUUCUGACCUGGGAUUGUAUUGUAUGAAGCUGGUGAGGGAACAUGGCUGGAUUAAUCAAGCAUUAGUGAUGUUAAUAUGUAAUUGUAAUGAUUCUUGUAGGGAAUUCUUGUAGGAUUGUACAAGAAUUUAUUUCAUUAAUUUCAAAAAUUAGUGAAAUUCAAGAAAGUUCAAGGAAUUUAAGUGCUUAUGAUUGUUUAUAUUCUAUUUUUGUGUGGCCACAGUUAUCGUCUUUCAUUAAUACCCUAAGAUUUGCUUUGGGCCGGGUUAAAUUCUUUGCCGCAUGAAAAAAAAUAAAGCUAAAAUAUUGUAAUGACACAUAAUAGAAAAUAAACUAAAAAAAUAAUAUAUUCAAACCCCCAAAAAUCAAUGAAAAAAUGACACAUAAUAGAAAAUAAACUAAAAAAUAAUAUAUUCAAACCCCCAAAAAUCAAUGAAAAAAAAUUAUUUAAAAAUAAAAUACCGACACGAGAUUACUCUCGCGUAAUAUAAUGAGAGGACAAGAUUAUCCAAAAAAAAUAUAUAAAAAAAUAGUUUAAUUCUUUUAAAAAAUUCAAAAUUUGAAUGUCAAAAUAAAAAGAAAUAACUUCUAGAAAAAUCCAAGUCACAGUAUAAACAUCUCCUUUCACAUAAAUUUUAUUAGGGAUAAUCUAAUUAAAAAGAAAACUAAAGAAAAUAAACAACUUCAAAAGAUAUAAAAUGUCAUGAAUUUUUCAAACUCAUGAUCUUUGGUAGUCAAAAAAACAUAAAAUUUUGACUUAUUUUUAAAACAAAAAGAUUUGAUUGGCUUGGGUUGACUGAAGCCAACUCACUCAAUCUAUAACUCGAUAAUUGUCCUGAAUUGACUAUUGGAUAAGGAUUAGAAACAAUGGGAAAAAUCAAAAAGAUCAAAUUUCAAUAAAUAAAAUGUUAAAUGAUGAAAUAAAAAAAUAAAGAAUAAAAAAUAUCAAUUAAGAGAAUAAAAAGCUCAUUUGAAAAAAAAAUUAAUGAAAUUGAAGUGAAUGCGGAGACUUUUAAGUUUUAAACACCUAUGCUUGUUGUUGAGAAAUGAUAAAUAAAUAAUAAAAAAAACAAUAAGAAGAAUCAAGUUUAAGAAGAUUGAUAUUUAAUAAAAAAAAUAUAUAUAAAAUUUUUAAUGUGGGCUCAUUUUCAAGAAUUGAAAAUUAUUGAAUUUGAAGCAAAGUUUGAAGAAUGCAAGAGGCUGUGAUUGCUUUUAGUCCAGCAGUAUUUAUCUUUAAUUAUAAUUUAAUCGAGGAUAUUUGAAAGUGUGAUAACAAUUAUUUUUUAAAGUAUUAUCUUGAAAAUACAUUAAAAUAAUAUUUUUUAUUUAAAAAAAAUUAUUUUUAAUAUCAGUAUUUUAAAACAAUUCAAAAAUAAAAAAAAUAAUUUUAAAAAUUAAAAUUAAAAUUUUAAAAAAUACCAUUUAAAAUGCAAUUUCAAAAUGCCACUUUGUGAACAGAAAAAAAAAAGAAUUUAUAUAAAUUAAAAUAAAAAUAAAAAUGCAAGUGAUGGCGAUGUGAUGGCGAUGGGCUUAUAAGGGGAUGAACAUGAAGAAUAAGCCAAAAGUAAGUAAACACAUACUUUCAUGCGGGCUUGACAGACAAAUAAUUCAACGUUCGUUUCAUACGAUGUGUAACUUGCAAGAUUUGAAAAUUGUGGCCAUAGAAGAACAACCAUCGUUCAUAUUGCUUUCCAGCUAGUUGGUUUAUUGGGUUGGUGAAGGUGCAUCCAUAAUCUUCACUGUCCAUGUUGACAGUCUUGCCAAGUUUAACCUAAAAGAAGUAUUAUCUUAUUGAUUUUCUGUACGAACCAGUUGAUGGUGGAUGCAGAAAGUAGAACAAUUCCCGCACUUUGAAUUUGAAGAUCCAGAGGCAGUGAAAGUAAAACGACUCUGUAUUUUGAUUAAAUAUUUAUUAAUUAUAACUGUGGGCUAUGUAUGUAUGAUUCACCGUUUCACAAAUACAUACUUUACAAGGAUAAUUAUGCUGCACAUAAUGUAUGAAGAACACAAUGCUAGAGACUAACAGCUUAGAAGCUUUUUGUACAGGGCUUUUGUUUUUAAUGAUUAUAACAUCCCUCAUUCUGAUCAAAUGAUGAAACUUUUGGAUUUAGGAAGCCUGUUGCAAUUUCCAGGGGCCCAUCCAAUCCGUUCUUUCUCGUUGUCAUAGAUCACCACUCUGUCUUGCAUUGAUAUGUCUAAUAAAACCACAUGAAAGAAAGUUUAAAAGAAUUUUAAGUUCAAUCCUAGGUUUAUAAUCUCAAUUCUUCAAGCUAUGUUCCGAAUUAUACAGAAACUCUCACCUCCAAUGACAUUUAGAUCAUUCAGCCCUACUUCUGUGCCAUUUAGAAUUCCCAAGCAAGCAUUUCCCUUGGACUGGAAAAAAAUAUUGUCAGCAUUCAUUGACAUGCGAAGGCUCCUUCUAAUUGAGCUAUAAAUUAAACUUGAAAAAUCAAAGGUGGGGAAACUAUUGAAGGGUGGACUUACUGAUAUUAUGAGGUAAGCUUCUGGUGGGAAUUCAAGCUCAGUUUUAGAUUUCCUUUCAUUCGUGAAGCUCAAUGCAAAGGUCUUGAAGUAUUUCUUGACAUCACGUAUGCUUUUGAAAGGUUUCCGGCCUUUCCAACAAAGUGGGAGUGUUUGAUCAUCCAAUGCCUCUCUUAAAGGUUUCCCGGAUAAUUCUUUCUUCAGCUGAAAAAACAUAUGGCAUGAAUAUAGGACGUUGAGAUUUAAACGGUGGUUUAAUACUGGAAGUAAUCUGAGCUUCAAGCCAAAUUGGGAGAAAACAUUGUUUUUUAACUUCCAAGCAUCAGAAGCAUAUGGCAACUUAUAACUGUCUAGCAGAUAGACAAUUAAGAUAAUGACCAAGGGGAACUGCAAGUUUAAGGCAAAAAGAAUCUUUUCUCAUAGUAUAUAACAUACGAUUCAUUUGAAAAUAAUAUCAGGUAUUCACAAUAAAUACUGCAGCCGACUAAAGUACAUGAUAAUAGACCAACCCUGCUCUUGCUGUACUAAUGCAAAUGCCAGGCUCUUUAUCUAACAUUUAUGUUUGUCUUGUUUUACUAGAUUUUCUGCCGCUCACCAGAGAAAUUAGACCUUGAUAUGCCUGAGAAUUAAGGUAUGUAUAAGAUGCCCCACUGUCAAAAGUUGUGAGCAGGUUUUUGAACCCGGUAGUUUUCCCAUCAAAAGUUAAUUCAGCGAGUCCAGGAGAGUAAUGUUUCCUGCCAUGCACGAUGAGCAUUUACCAUAAGAACAUAAAGAUAUGAAUAUAAAAGCUAAACUUUAAAAACAUGAAAGGAAAUCCUCGAGGCCUAAUUACGCAUCAGGUGACAUUGGUGUCCAAGCUACACGAGACGAAUCAUAAAGAUCAUCCCCGAAGAAGAGGAAUCCUCCACCAUGCCCACUUAAGCAGUGGCCGAUCACAUUUCUCACCAAACCCAGACUACUAAGCUGUGAGACAAUGCUAGACUUUCCCUUGCCAAGGCCAAGCACUCCGUCUAUGGGAUGAUGAGAUCCGCCUGGAAACUGAUCAUAUCCACAUCUGUUUGAGGGGAAAAAAGAACGAAGAGAGAACAAAUGAUUUACAUUAUGCAUACUAGCCAACCAACUGAAAAUUGCAUUGCGUCUCAUAAAGUUUUAAUAAAGAGAGAAAGCAAAGAAAACAACCCAAGGGCCAGAAGAGGACUAUGACGCUUUUCACUUGUAAAAUUGAGAUUAAAGGUAUCCCUCACAAGUACGCCAAAGGAUGAGCCACCAUCAGCAUACUCAACCUCAUAGUCACACUGCCCUGGGUUUUCACAUCUGUGGUCACCGUUAGAGUGCAAGGAUUGACAAAUGGGGUCCAUGCAAGGUACUAGAUUGUUACGGGGUCGGUAAUAUGGAUGAGGAGCCUGUAAAUGAAAAAUAAUUAAGGUAUCUGCUAUACUAAGAACAUAACUUCAUUUGUUUAACACACAGCAUAGAAUAUUGAAAACUAAUUAGAAUCACAUGCAAGUUUGACAGACAGUGAUAAUUCAAGAUUAACUGAGCUGGAAGGAGCAUAAUUGCGUUUAACAAAGCAGCAGAGGUUUACAGAUUUACCAUAAAACAAGUGACAAAAUUAUGCUGAAACUAACCACAUCCGAGAAAGCUCAAGAAUCAAGGAGUUCAAGUUAUCGCAUGCUACCAUCCAUUUAUAUGUUAAUGAAAAUUGGAAAAACAAUUAGGGAGUCAUAUCCGAGUGGCAGCAUCAUACAAUAAUUCCGUUCUUCAGGUUUAACUUAAGCCUCAAGGACAAGAUACAUACAAUCUUCUAGACAUCGUAGUACUGACCAUGCAGGUUGGACCAUUUGAUUAUAUGACCAACAACAAGAAAUGAAUGCUAAAUGGUUUUUUUUUUCAUAAAUUGGUUGAACGAAACAGAGAAAACCUGUUAUAAUGAUUUUUACCUCUGUGCAUUGGACACAGGGAGCAUCACACUGGAGCCAUGUAAGGUCACUUCCAGUAUCUACAUCAAGAAAGUAGGGUUUUGAGGGUUGGCCAAUGUUGAGAGUCACAUUAUAGUACCUACAAAAUGGAACUCUGUGAUUUCAGUAACAAACGAUUGAGUUCAAGAAGCUCCAAACAAAGCCUUAUGUAGUUACAGUCCAGAAUCCAGAGGAACACAACUGAAGGACUCCAUGAAUUACUGCAUAGCUAUCAAGCAAGGUUUUCAAAUUUCAGUCGAUAAAUUACGAAGAAUCAGAGACAAAAGUCCUAAUAUCAUUACAUGAUAACACACAGAACAUGCGAUUAUCACUUACUUGGCAAAGAAACAAGGAAAACAACAAGAAGUCAAAACCCAGUUCAGUUAUGCCCUUACCCAUUAGGAUAGACAUUCCCAUGAAGCGGUAACACAAUGGAUGAUGGAACUCUAUUGAUCAACAUUGAUGAAGCCAUUGUUUCACCUGAUAUCAUAGCCUUUCUCCACCUUUUCGGGCUAUCAUCACUAGUAACUGAUGACCCCAAAAACAAAAAUAGCACUAAAACCCCCACCACACAAAAACCAUCCUUUUCUUUUCCCAUUUCUCUCUUUUUGACAGUCAGUGAGUUAAUUAAUGCACCACAAAUGUUUGGUAGAAUAUCUGAAUGAAAACUAAGACCUGGUCAAUCCACUUGUUUUUGUUUAUUUUUAAAAGCCCAUAUGAGUCCAAAUUUGGUUUGUAUUGACAUGGGGUCUUUUGCUAGGAGAUUAAGGAUUCAUGGGCAUUGCUCGUUCUUGAAAUUUCGCUUAAUUACCUAUAAAAAUCGAUAUUUCUUCAAAUGUGGUGUUCUUUUAUUCUCUCUCCAAGGAGACAGGAGGAUUAUGUUAAUGGAUUUUGAACUAAUUGUUUUUUGGGAAUAAAUGCAACUAAAAGAAUUUGCAGGAAGUUAAGGUAUAUAAUUUGCCUUUUCAUCUAAGCACAAAACACUAUAAUAGAUGGCAAUGCAUAUUCAGAUACUCUGUUUUAGCUUGAAUUAUUAUUGACAAUUUCUCGGAACCUUCCAUGAGAGGGACAUUUGCAUCAAAAGCCAAAUCCUUAAAAUGGAACGCUAUACCUCGAAGACUGCGGCAAUUUCCCUUUUGUUCUUUUGCCAUGUACAAUUUCUUUCCCCUUAUAGCUUCACUUUUCCAUUUUCCAUGACAAUCUUUAUUCUUUAUCUACAGUGAGGAGGGUGACAACCCCAACUACACCCUAAUGUAACAAAGAAUACAAACUCUCAACAACUUGAUUAAAAAUAGUUUGGAAUUAAAUAUACAUUUACAAGUAUAGCUAAAAGUGUCAUACAGAUUUUUUUUUAAGAUUUUUUUAUUUAAAAAUUCAUCAAAAUAUUUUUUUUAUUUUUAAAAAAUUAUUUUUAAUAUCAAUACAUUAAAAAACUUAUAUAAAAAAUAUUAAUUUUAAAUAAAAUAAAUUUAAAUUUUUAAAAUAUAUGUUCGCAUUUCCAAAUUGCUCCUAAGUGCUAGAUAGGGGCAUACACCUUGACCCAUCCAAUUUUUUUUUCAAAGUAAAAAAAAAUGCUAAGACGAUGUAAACAUUUUAAUAAAAAUAAAAAAAAUAUAUGAGACUCGGGUUAUUAACUUAAUUGGAUUUAAUAAGCUCAACUAAUUUAAAUAAUACAAGUAAAAAAUGCAACAACAAUAAAAAAAAAUUGACAAUUGUAAAAAAGGUAAAAAAAAAAAAAAACUUGAGCCUGUCCAAGUUAGCAUUCAAAAUCUACAACUCUAUUGUUAUACCAGGAUAACCUUGUCUAAAACAAACUAAAAAAAUCAUGAAAUUCAAUUAUAAAACAACCCCAAUGUUAAGGGUGAAACCAAAACAAAUAUUUUUUUAAAAAUAAAAUAUUCGUGUCAAUUCAAGUUGACUCACUAAUUUCGUAACCAUAAACAUAAAAUUGGAAUAACUUCAUAGAAAGAAAAACAAAAACAAAAGCACGAAGAUUAAUUAUUAAUAAAUUAAAUGUUAAAUGAUGAAAUUGAAAAACAAAUAAUUAAAAAAUGGCCUAAAAAACCUAAAGUCGACACAUGUUAACUUUCAAAACCCGUGAUCUUGGUCACGGGCUUGAGACCAACACCAUAUAAGAAAAAUCCUAAAAAAAUAAUGAAGCAAAAUUAUAAAUCAAUAAAAUAUUAAGGGAUGAAAUUAAAAAAUAAAUGAAAAAAAACAAUAAAAAGAAUAAGAAGUAUAUUUGAUAAAAAAAAAUUUAAAAUCAAAUGUUGAAGGAUGAAAUUGAAAAUAAAAUUCGAUUAGAAAAAAAACAAAAAAAACAAACAACAAUAAAAAAGAUGAGGACCAAAUUUGAUAUAAAAAUUAAAUGAAACCAAAUGAAAGACAAUUUCAAAAAAAAGGAUAAAAACAAAACAAAUAGAAAUUAAAAAAAUAAGGAUUGAAUUGAGUACAAGAAAUAAAUGAAAGGAAACCUCUAAAUUUUUACAAGGAGAAGAGUGAAAAAAAAGAGAUGGAGAAAAAACUCCAUCGAAGCUCAACCACUCCUUUGUUGUCCACACACACAGCACCGGUGGAAAGAACAUGUCAAGCCACUUCAGAUGCUGCCCUGAAAGGUGGCAUUUAGACAUUGGAUGAUGCAAUAUGAGCCGCUUGAAAGGCAUGGAUGUUGCCCUCGUGCACGUGCCAACAAUUUUAUUUUUAACUAUUAUUUUAAUUGAUGAAAAAAUCAAAUCGCCUUGUCCAACCUAUUAGUUACAAAAAUAUCUUAAUGAAAAUACGCAAAUACCCCUUGUUGUAAGUUUUAGUUUUUUUUUAAGGGUAUAAAGGUUUUUACACUAUGCUUCCAAAAUGUAAAAAGACAGGAUUAACUCUAAUCAACCUUUUGAUAAAUUUUACUUUUAAUGAAUUUUACUUUUAAAAAUAAUAUAAUCUUAUAAUAUGAUUUUGAAUUGUCGAAAGAUCAAAUUAUUCUCAAUCCAUAGCAUUAUGCCCAAUAAUCGUGUUAAAAAUAAUCGUGUUAAAAAGAUCAAAUUAAUUACCCCUAAUAGCAAGUUAAAUCUUUUUUUUCUUGUUAAAAGGGCAAAACAAUACUUAUACUAGCACGGUGAACAAUAAUUUGUGUUUAUAUGCAUAAUGUUUUCUUCAUAGCCUUUUUUUUCAAAAAAAAUUAAUAUAUUUUAUUAUCUGUGAAUUAAAAGGUAACAAGCUAGCAAGUAAAAAACUUGUUACAUGCGAGAAUAAUGCUUUUAGCCCCUUUGUUUAUUGCUUAGGGAAAAGAAAGUUCAGGAUAAUUCAUUUGAUUAGUGAUGAAACAAGAUUUUAUUAGCAUAUUUUUUAUAUAUCCUUACCAAUAAAUACCGGAAAGAAAAAAUAUACGGGUAUAAUAAAUCUUCAUGAAUUCUUGAGUGUAUUGAGUUGACACAUGACAAUACCAAACUAUCUUAUUAUACUUAAAAAUAGUGAUAUUGAAUAAAUAUCGUAUUUCUGAAGUAUAUCAUGGUCAAACUAUUUUAUUUUAUCAAUCUUUUCUGUGCCUAUAUCUAUUAACUAUUUUAAAAAAAAAAAAUUACUGUGCUAAUAGCUCAAUUUAUCCUAAAUAGUGAAGUGCCAUAUGGGAUCACUUGUUCUGCACACCAUAUUACUAGAGACUUCGAUGAGUUAAGUCCUAUGACUUUGUUUUACUCUAUAUAACAAAUUAAUGGUGCAAUUGAAACUUCUGGUAGAUUGGGACCGGAUUUAAGACUUGUAUGAUAAUUAUAUAUAUAUAAAAAAGCGAACCAGAUCAACAAAUCACAUAGUCAAGCUGAUCAUGAAUUGAUAGAAAUGCACUAUCAUGCUAAUGUUAGCACUGAACAUAUUGUUCAUCAUUGAGCAACACAAAAAAAAAAUACAAGUAGAGACUAAUCCACUUAUUCUCCAUCAAACAAGUAACUCAUCACCCUUUGCUGGCUAAUCUCAAGACCAAGAGAAUGAAGACCGAAAGCUUUAAAUUUAUCAAACUAUUAUAGAACCAAAGCAGCAAGUAUAAUACAGUUAUGCAACCAAUGGAAAUGAUGAGACAGCCAUCAGAAAAUUCCAGACAAACCACUAAAUUUGCGGUUAAUUAUCCUGCCAGGUAUGUCUUGUUAUAGUUUGUCUUUAAUCCAUUUAUCAUUAUUAAGAAGAAAGACAGCGAUGAUAAAAUCACGACCAAUCUACAGAUGAUGUUAAGGUUUCCAAAUAUAUGAGAGCGAGAUAAAAGAGAGAAUAGAAGAUCAGGUAAAAAAAAAAACUGAUUAGAGAUGAGAUCUAUAUUCUUCAGAGUUCAUAUUACUAAAGAAAAGACAUUUGAUCUCACCUAGUGACUAAAUUGUGGUAAAGUUUAACUAAAGACCUGGUCAUGCAAUUAGAUAAGCAUUUCAAGAACCACAAAACUUUACAAGCAAUGAUUUUGUAAACAGAAGGAGAAAAAAGAAUUCGAACUAUCAUGGCUAGAAUAAAUAGAAGAUAGAGCAAAAGGAAAGUGGUAUAACAUUUCCUAUCCAUGUUCAAAAAACCGAAACUGAUGGACUGAAAAAGCUAAUAAAAACACCAUCAAGUUAAAUGCCCCUGAAAAGUUUGAAAAAAAGAGAGAAAAGAAUAGCAUUACCCUGUCCUUUAAUUCCCUCGGUCAAGUUUUGGAUGUCUUCCCUUUGGUUGUUACCAUCACUUUUGCGUUUCUGAGGCUUUUUCUUCUUGAAAUGUGGCCUGCAUUGCUGCCAGUCCUGUGGAGGUCAUGAUGAAAUGGUUUCUGCAACUGAUGGUGAUUUGGAUCUUGUAAACCUCCCUUGACCAGCACCAAUUGGCCAUUUUUGCUUUUUCUGAAGAUCAUGUUGCUGCCUUUUCUGCUUAAGCUGAAUCUGUGGAGACAAUGGUACGUUGACAGUUUGAGAUGCAGCUGAUAAUGAUUUAGGUGGCCUUCCUGGGCCACGUUUCUUGGGCUGUUGCUCAUUGUGACUCUGAUGGCUUGAGGAUAUUUCUCUUACUAUGAGUUUUGUACUGGUCAUGGCUUUAGGCCUUUGCCCUUGAAUAUGCAAUGGCAGCUCCUUGUGAUGAUCUUCACCAUCUACAGGUAAAAAUUUCCCCUUAGCUGUAUCCAUAACAGGCUUUAGCUUAGGACGCCUCCCUCGAAGUUGAUAUGCCAGUUGACUUCCCUGUUUAUUUUGGUCUGGUAAGGGUUGUGAUUCUUCCAUUAUUUUAUCCAUAAUCUCUUCAGCUUGGGAAGAGCAUUGCACUCGAAACUGUAGUUGCUGUUUCUGCUGAGUUUGAAUAGAAUCCCCUGCUGAUGUUAGUUUGUGCUGUUUUGGAUUUUCUAGCAUUUUGACUUCAUCAGAUGUUACUGGUGCAAGCUGAGAUCUGAGAAGCCCUUUCCUACCCUGAUCUUUGAGUUCCUGCUCCACUGAUUGAGAUGAUUUCUCCACUUUCUUUGGUUUUCUCUUUUGAGGUCUUUCAGGGAUUGGAUGAUCUAGUUUCCGCUGUCUGUCGGAAUCAACAUCAUUUGCAUCUGUUGGAUGUGCUGGAUUGGAUUCACAUGCCUUUGUGCCACGAUACCAUAGUUCCCUCCGGGGCAGCUCCAUUUCUACUUUCUUUCUCUUGCCACGACCCUUCUUUUGCUGAUUCGUUAAUCGGGAUGAUUCAUGUACCCCCAAAAUUUGCUUUGGAUCUUGAAGCAUUUCAAUGUUAUGGAGUUGCUGAUCAGAAGUAGCUCCAGCUGCACCUGAUUCAGAUUUGUUCUCGGAUGCCCUUUGCUCCGGAGGGCGUAAUUCUUUCUCUUGUAUUUGCUGUUUUAUCUGGCAUUGUUGCUCUGAAGUGAUCGUUUCAACCUCUAUAUGCCUUUCCUUGACUGAUAGUUCAAGAUUCUGCCCUUUCACGAGCUGCAUUGACUCCAUAGCCACACAAUUCAUUUUGUCAUAUCUAUAGAAUGGUAUGUUCUAUGGUACUAUAUUUAAUAUCAUUGAUAAUUUGAAGUCAGUUCUAUAUUAUCUUCAGUCUGUUUCAUAUCAUCUCCGAUAAUAAUAAAUGAUAGAAAAGGAAUGGAAGGCCUAAGAAAACACAUGAGCAAUUAAAGAUAAAAACGAACAUGUCAUGAUGCCUACCACAGGCUCGAGUUUCUUUGCAUCGCCACAAGGAACAGCACACUGCAGCCGUUCUUGGGAAAAUCGCUCCACCGUAACCUCAAAUCCUGGAGGCCUCUCAGGCUCAACCUCGUCUCUAUCUAUAGUGAUGUCCUCAGCAGGUGUCAAUUCUCCAUCAGCAGACAAGUUUUUUCCCAAAGCCUUUUUUAGCUCAGGGACAUCUACUCGCUGCUCCAGCUCAACACGCAGUUCAACAUGCUCCAAAUUGACGGGAGUCUGAAGGUCCUCUACAGUUGUGCCAUGAUGCUCUGAUCUCUGCUCCAGAUUCAGCUCCUGGGGUUCCAAAGAACCUGCAAAUGAACAAGACUUGGACCCCUUUUCUGGGUCAUGAAGUUGUAGAUAGCCUUUAAAACUAGGAAAAUCUUGAUGUUUCUCCACCUCCAGUUGCUGUGAGUGCAUGAUUUGCUGAGUAGGAGAAACACUAAUGUUUUCUGGCCAGUAUUUCGAUGGGAAAUCAUGAUUUCCAGGUAAAGCCUGCCUUUUCUGGUUAUGAAAAGAUUCCUGCAAUGCUGUUAUUUGAACUUCUGCAGUUCUUUUGAGUUUAGGAAGCUCAAAUUGUUGAUUCUGCUGAAGUUGCAUUGGAUCUUUGGGUACAUAAUCAGAAUGUGGCAAUGCUUUUGGCUCUGAUUCAUGAAUAUUGGCUAUUGCUUCCAUUGAAUUCAAACAGCUAAGAACAUCCAUCAGCUCAUGCUCAGCUUCUGUUAACUUCUUCCACACAUUUAUACACUUUUCCUAGUGAUCAAAGUAAAUUAAACAAACAAUUAAAACGUGUUUCAUGGGACAGAAUAAGACGAGUUUUACAUAUUAGUAACCAAUUUUCCAAGUUUAACCUGUGAAUAACUAAUACUCCAGUUUUAAACUUUCACCUUCAGAGUAUGAAAUAACAAUGAAGAUCCGACAUGGUCUAAUUGUUGACUUGUCUGAGAAGAACUUGGCAUCGCUAUCAUGUCUUUAUCUCGAACAGGUUGUCCAGAAACCUCCGAUGUAUGGCUGUUAAUUAAUCAGAAACGGAGAAGGGAUAAGAAUAAAGUAACAAGAAAGACUGUAAGAUACAAUGUUGCAAAGUAAGAAAAGAGCAAACCUAAUGUCAGUAGAAUUGUUCCCCACUUUAUUAUCUUGUUCUUGCAAUCCCUUUUCCUCUCCAAUCACUCCAACUUCUUUUCCUCGUGUUUCAAUCUGCAUAGGAAUGGUUCUAAUAUGUGUUUUCUCUGAUUGAUAAUGUUCGUCAACAUACAUAUCUUGUGGAACCUGAGGUCGAAUUUCGCCUAUAAUUUCUUCAUUUUCAGGACGUUCAACAUGAUGCAGGUCUACAGUUACUUUAUUUUGACGUUCAGUUUCCACUUGAUCUUCAGUCACUUGGAGUUCUUGUUGUUGUAAUUGACUUCGCUCUUCAGUUGCCUCAGUUUCCCUCAUUUGGAUAUGAACUUCUUUUUCAUGUCUUCCCUCAUCUACUCCAGCAGGUUGCUGGUAUCUAUCUUCUACAAUCACUUUUGACUGUCCUUCAACAACUUGAGAAAAAUUCUCAGUAGUCAUCUCAAACCUCUCUUCCUCAUAUACCCUAAGCUGAUCUUCUUGUAAAUGGUUCCGGUAUUCAACGCCUUCACUUUGAGCUGCUUGUGAUUCUUUUGCUUUAUCACUUUCAGGUUGAUCUUCUAUUUCUAUAAUUGCAUUCUGAUCUUCUUGAACUUGAACUCCUUCAUUGACCUUUUGCAACUUAUUACUUCUCCGAUCCAGUUCAUAUUGCACCGACUGCUUCUUUCCCUGCUUUAACUUAGAGUCCUCAGCUGGAAGCAUGUAACGAUUCUCAGAUGUAAAAACUAUUUCUUCCUUCUCCACAAGUUUCUCUAAUUGUUCAAUUAGUUUAGCCACAUGAACAACCUGAAAAACAUCAUACUUUCUCAUGAUAAACUGUGAUAUUGCAUCCUUGGUCGAUCCCCCUUCUUCAUUUAAAUCCAUAAUUGCCUCAUGCACCAUCUGAAUGGAAAAAUCAAACCAAUUGAAAACUAGUCAAUGAAAACUUCAUUCUUCCUUUGUUUCUCUUUAAAAAGGGCAGGACUCGAACUAGAGACCAACAUGGCUACACUCAUAGGUAUCAUGAAAACAAUUUCUAGAGAAGCAGACACAAAGGAAAAGGGAACAUACGACAGGGUAUACUGGGUGAUCUGGAGUGUGGUCUAUGGUGGCCAGCUGCUGUUUGAUGUGCAGCAUUUUGGUUUGGUCUUGGCUUGCCAUUUUCACAAUCAUGUCAUCCACAUCAAAUUUUAGUCCCUGUGCAUGGAAUUACAAAUCAAAACAAAUCAGCAAUACGUUAAGCACCCACCAACACCAUAAGCCCACAAAAAGAAAUAGCAUGUUCAAAAAUUUCCAUAAGCCCACAAAUAUAACAAUUAUAACCUGUAUUUUCAUUUUCCUCACAGCUUAAGAGUCAAGUCUGGGCUCACAUUAACUAGAUUAGUGCAUCUAAAUUGUCAUGAUUACCACUAGCAGCACAAUGGGUCUUGCAUGGUAAUAAUCUCUUCCUUCGGACUAGUGCUCCCUCAUUCACACAAAAUUGGCAUCAUGAUUUAUAGCUAUCACGAAGGGAUCCCACUUUCAUACGAGUGAAAAAGAAUGUUAUAGAAAUACCCAAAUUGCUUGCAUAGCAGGAAAAAAUCGGUAUUUGUCAAAAGCACAAUUCAAAACCAAUUUCUUAUAAAACAAAAAAAUACCAAACAGUUGUUUUGCUUUUCUUGUAAUGUUGAUGGCGGAACAGUGUAAGCAACAGGUUCAAUGGGGGCUACCACAAAGCAAAAGAAAAGCAAAAGCGGUGAAAUAUAAAUUAUAGUAAUUAGAAAAGAGACAAACAUGAGCAGAAGCAUUCUCUGUUACCCCCAUCCGUUUUUUUCACCUCCUGCAACAAUUAAUCAGUAAAAUUGGACUCAAUCAACGCUUGUCCAAUAAAAACUAGAACGUUGACAAUCUGACCGAAACAGCAAUGGUAUAAAAAAAAACUGAAAGAAACCCAAUUUAGAAACAGAGCUGUUACAAUCACUGAUGAUUAUUAUUAUGUUAGCCCAGUAACUGAAAUUCAUGCCAGGUUAUUCCAAUAGGAAGAAAAUAGGGUUUCGCUGAUUUUCUCGUUACAAACACGUUUGAUGGCUAGCUUGGAAUUUAUUGCAAAAUAUACUGACAAGGGUUUUUAUUAAGUUUGCUUAGAUUUGUGGGCCCACGACUUUUUCUUUUUAAUCUGAUAAAAAAAGAAGGUACGCGUGUCUCAAAAAGUUAAAAAGGAAAAAAAACCUUAGACAACAAAAUAGAAUUAUUAUAAUUUAAUUAGAUCAAAAAAUAAUUCUUUAAAAAAUCCCUUCAAACUCCACUUGAUACUGGCAAUGAUCGCUACAGCACAUGAGAGGCUGUCCUUCCCAUUUUAGCUUGUUCACAGACAUUAUUACACUUCUUCACCAGUUGUUUUACCAUCUUCUUCAUUAAAGGCCGCUAAAACACAAUCUUAAAUCUCCCGUAAGAGUUGUGUCUCCUAGCAUGGCUUUCUAUACAAGAAUUAUGAAUUGUUUUAACUGCCUUUUCUCUCAGGUCAUCUUCUUUGCCGAUCACAAUUCUCCUUUUAUACAUGAGUAUAUCAGCUGUAAAACUAUAUUCAGGCCAAUUGUCAGCUCCUGCCAAUUUCCCAUCAAUUAUUUCUGCAACUGAGAAUCUUGCUUGUAGGUGUCCAUAAUCUCCUUGUACCAUGUUGGAACCACUAUUACAAUAGGAUCGGAUUAAUCCUUCUUCUUGAAAGAUAAUCUCAUCUUUGUUAAACCGAAUAGGAUCGGCGAGUAAAGUCUUAGCAUCCAAUCCACUCCCAAAACCAUGUUACACCUCCCUAACUUCAAGAUCCUCAAGUCUGCUUGGAAUUGAUGUCCUUGCAUUAACCAUUAAAAUUUUCUACAGAAUACACUACACCUCAUGACAUUUUCAUUGGCCACAGUUACUGCUAAUACAGUUUCAUUGGCCAUAAUUACUGCUAAUACAGUCGUUUUUUCAAUGGUAGUCUUGGCCACAGUUACUGCUAAUACAGUUUCAUUGGCCAUAAUUACUGCUAAUACAGUCGUUUUUUCAAUGGUAGUACUCUUGAUCUCUUUAACCACAUGUUCAUCAAUAAAACUAAGAGUAUUACCACUGUCGGUAAGAAUAAAACUAAGAGUAUUACCUUACCUGAGGGGUGUCGUAGCUCAAUUAUGUUAGGUUAUAGGUUUGUUUUUUUAGAGUUUACUAGUUUGAUUCUAUAAAUUUUAGGGUUAUUGGAUAUUUAUUUAGUUAUUAAUUUUAGAAUUUCAAAAAAUUAAUUGAAAUACAUGUAAAUUAACCUGAAAACUCACAAGAUACAAUUACCAAAAAAAAAAUCUUGCUUUUUAUAAUUCUUUUUAAUCCUUAUUGUGUUGUUAUUGUGUUAUGAGCAUAACUUUCGUCCAAUACAUUAAGGGAUAAACCAUACUCAUGUACUUGAUAUUCAAUAGCCACAAUCUCAUUAUUACCCCCUUUUUUACUUCUAAAAGUUCUUCAUCUUCCUCAUCCACUCCCUUUAUCAUAUUCAAGUGCCAUUCAUUCGUUUACCCCCUACUGUUACAUCAGUUCUUGCAUUGUAAAGAGUGCUACAAGAAGGUUUACCUGAUAACCUACCAUGAUGUCAAGAAGAGAUAUUUUGGGUACCAUCUUGUUUCUUCUUGUCACGACUUGGUUAGAUUCCUUUUACCACCUUGCUUAAUCAAGUUCUUGUACCAAUGUUCCGGAUUUCAAGAUCUUCAAUGUUGGUUUAAUGUCCUGCUUGAGGCCUCUAAUAAAGCUGGAUAUAUAGUACGAUACUGGUGCUGAAGAAUUCAAUGUGCUUAUUAGGGAUUUAAGCUCCUCAAACCUUUCAAUAUACUCUUCUACUCCCGCUUAUCGUGUACCAAUUUGUUAAACUCCUCUACCACAUGCUCUCUGCUGCCAAAUCUGUUACAAAGGCAUCGAACAAACUCCUCCUAAUUUGUAAGGUCAUGGUCACCUACCAAAAAUCCUUCGAACCAUACCUCUGCCUUGCCUUCCAAGUAAAGUGAAGCAAUUUCUACCCAUUGAUGAACCGGAGUAAAAUGCAACUUGAAAAACUUCCUAUAUUUUCUAAUCCAUCUUCGCGGAUUAUCUCCAUGAAUCGUGGACAACUCCACUUUAGGUAAAGCUACAUUGUACCCACCCGAUGGCCUUUAUUAAUUCCCACAUUUUCCUCUGAAUUAUGAUUCUGCUGUAGAUGCACCAUUUCCCUGGCGUUAACUUGAUUCCUGUCAUCCCUUUCUACCUCCCUUCCAGUCAUAAAUGUCUGCAUGAUAGUCAUCUUGGUUUCCAUUUGUGCCUUUAGUUGUUCAUUCAACUUGGCUUGUUCUUACCAAUGUCUCUUGUUGUCUGCUAUGAAAUCUUGCAAUUCUUGAUGAAAAACUUGCAUUCUCUCAUCCAACUAUCUCCCAUUCUCUUCCAAAGUUCUAGCCUUAUUGUUUUCUACCAUUUUUAAGUCUUUGUUAAUGUUGUAAUUGCCUUGGAUUCAAGGCUCUGAUACCAAUUUGUUAAGACUCAAUCUUAACAAACAGGUUUUUAGUGAGAAAAGAGGUUGAGAAGUAGAAGAAAAGAGAAGAGAAAUAACUUUUGCAAUUUAUAGAAAAAUAUACCUCAUUAGACUUAUUUAUACAUUGUUCACCAACUCACCAACUGGAUUAUCCAAUUGUCUAACUACUUUAUUCUUCACGUGUUUAAUGCUGCUCACUGCUGCUAAUUGUUAUUUCUUUCUCUCCAUGUCACUGCCUUCCAAGCUUGCAACACUAUCUGAAUGGACUGAGUUGCCAGAGCUUGGGACGACAGGGGACCUGCUAGAUUCUGAAGAUAUCUCUUGUCCAGUUUCAGUGUGGUGGUUCAACAGCAGAUAACUAAAGAGAUUCGCAAGACUGCUUGGAAAUUAUGGUAAGCAAGGCAAGAUGCGUACUUGCACCAAAAGGGUAAUAGAAAACUGUAUAAACAUUUUUUGUCUGGUAAUUUUUAAUUUCCAUUGCAGAAGUCAGAAAUUCUCAUUUCCUUUCCAAGCAUUUCACAAAUAACAAAUAAUCUUAUUCAACAAGACACUGACACUCUCCCUUGAAUGGAUGCUCUCUAACAAUCUUAAAGUAGUCGUUUAGACGGCAAGUUAUCAUACAAUUAUUAUCUCACAACUGUUGAACAGUUGAGACUUGAAAAAAUAAAAACGCAUUCAAGAGAGGGGUAACCAACAAAAAAAAACAUCUUCAAUUCACGUAUUCAAUCUCUAGACCAUCCCAUCAAAGCAAGAAUUAUAUCAAAUAUGCCACCAUUCAUCACAGCCCUCAUCAACUUCUUAUUUUCUGGUGUAUAUGGUGGGUAUCUGACAGGUGAAUCUCCACUAAAACUUCUGUAUAGAACUGCCUUCUUGUGACUGAAAGCAUCAAAAGAAAAUUUACCAUGGUAUGAUCCCAUUCCACUCUCCCCAACUCCUCCAAAGGGUAAACUGGAAACUGUAACCUGCAUAAUUUGAAAACCAAGCUUGAAAUAGACAAUUUGUUUACCUCUACUACCUUAGGUAAAAACAUUAAAAAGUGCUCAUUUCGGAGCAGAUCCAGUUUAGCUACGCCGCGUACAAUUAUCCAUAUUGACACAUUUACUCCUUAAGCGUAACUCGCGAUACACAUUUUUGGCAUUGCUUCUAACCAUCAAGAAAUUGAGUCCUAUUCUCUCCCUUUUUCUUUGCAGGAGGGAGUAACAUGGCACCGGAAGCACAGUGGUACUGACUGGCUGCAGUCAUGACACUGCAGAUUUUUAAUAGUUUGGGGACCUUACAAUCUAUUUGAGGAGAGAUGUGGCAAACGGCCUGCAUCUCAGUGAACACAUUAUACAAAAUUUUGCCGUCCGCAUAUGUGAGUUUUAAGGAAGAGAUGAAAACAUACAUGCAGCACGGUGUCAUUGAUAACCAUUCCUCCACAGGAGACAUUUUGCACGAAGUCAUUCCUUAGCUUCUGGUUAUUGGUGAAGAGAUAUGCGACAAGAGGCUCUGGUUUCGAAUUUAUCAGAUCAAUACUGUCUUUCACAUUUUCAACCUAUCAAAUCACAGAUAAAAUGAUCUUUGAAUCAUAGUGUCGAUUAGAACAACAUGCAUUGCAUAUUUUCACUCUGUACUCACAGUGAUAAUAGGAAGCAAUGGCCCAAAUAUCUCUUCCUGCAUCAGUUGAGAGUCUUCAGGAACAUCCAAGAAUAUGGUUGGAGCGAUCUUUCUGCAAUAGAAGGAUAGGUCAUGCAGUCAUGUUUUGUCCUGUGUAUCAUUGUUGAAUUGUAAACUAGAAGCACAAAUCUGCCAGAAAAUGUAAGGAACCCACAGUUUCUUCUGAUUCCUUUGGCCUCCAACCACAAUUUUGUUGAAAACCUUGUACUCAUCUAAGAGUCUUUCCAAACGUGAAAAAUGGUUUGAACUCACAAUACGGGAUAUGUAUUUCGAUUCCAUUGGAUCUGCUCCAAAAAAUUCUUCUAUUCCGUUCCGUAGUGCAUCUAUCUGUUCAAGGGGCAUGCAUCAAGAAUAAAUCCAGUUGGAACAGACCUUUUAAAGAAUUAAAAAAAGGUAAAAUGAUCUUACCAACUUUGGGGCAAAAUCUUUUGUUGCUAUGAUAUAAUCAACACUAAUACAAGCUUGUCCAUUGUUCAGUUGCCACUUCCCAGCUAUAAUCCUCCUUGCAGUAACCUUCGCAUGAAGCCAAUUAAUACUACAGGGAAAAGAAUCCGUGAUUGAUGCACUCUUAAGCUAUGAACUUGAUGUUCUUACUUGUAAGUCAACAUCAGAAUCAACAACAACUGGACACUUUCCUCCAAGUUCUAGGACAACAGGAGUAAGGUGCUUUGCUGCAGCAGUCAUCACAAUGCGCCCUACUCUUGGACUGCCUAAAAAGAAAAAACAGCAUGGCCUCUUUAGCUAAAGUCUUGAAUUUAGAGAACUUUUCCAUUGAUACUAGCAGCGUCAGUUCAUACACUCUAUACUUCAGCAGUUACACUUAGUAUGAAAAAUCAAAUGGACAACAGGUGUUUUCAAAGUUUCAAAUCCUGUUUAUGAAAUGCCUUUGGAAUAACUGUAAAACAUAUAUUGACUUAAAUUCUCAUGUGACUUUUAUGGAAGGUUAUGAUCAGUAAUAUCUGAGGUGUUCUGUUGUGAACAACAAGUUCAAGGAAACACAAGUGAAACAACAAAAUUUCAAUAAAAGAAUCUGAAUGGAGACACAAUGUGAAAAUUGUGUUGCUGGGAGUUGUAUGGGUUUGGGGUAUGGGUUUGGGCUUGAACUUGGUUUUUUCUCAAGUUACCUAGAUUUUUACACUGAUUUGUAGAGUCCAACUGUUGUAUCCUUGUCUGAAUAUUCUUAUCCAAAAGAGGUGCCUUAGCCUAAAAUAAAUGUUUGAAGUAGUAAGUGUUUGAUGAAGUAUCUAAUAUCAGCACAUCUCCUGGACCUGUAGCAAGUAUUUUCUGGUAGGAUUAAGGAGUAAAAUUAUGUUUUCCAUUUUUUCAUUUGAUAAAAGGAGUUCAUUUCUAGCACCAACAAUAGAUUGCAGUGUGUCACCGGAGACAUGUUCACUGCCUUUCAAUCCAUGAACCUGUAUGGUCAGAGCAUUUCAAAAUAUAAAAUAUUAUUGUGUCAAACCUGUGUAGAAUAUCUUGUCCCACUUCUGCUCAAGUAACGCAGCCGUUUCAGGAACGGCUCCCUCGACAACUCUAACAGCAGAGCUGUCUAGAUAUUCCUCAAAUAAUUCUGAAAGCAGUGAAGAUGUGACUGGAGCAAUUUCUGAUGGUUUCAAUACCACAGCAUUUCCAGCUGCAAUAGCUCCUAUUACUGGAUCAAUUGACAGCACUGCAGAUAGAAGAAGGAAAAAAAAAAGGCCCAUAGAAAUCAACACUAGAAAAUGCGGUAGGGGUUUUUUUUUUUAGCCAGGGACAUUUCAUGUGAUUACAUUAUCUUGAAACUAAAUGGUAUUCUCUAGCUUCCCAAUUGCAACACAUUUGUGGAUUGAAUUUAUCGAUUAUGGAAAACAGAGAAUCAUGUUUUUUUGUGCAGAGUAUGAAUGCAUGAGUAGAACAUGAUUUUAUUAACACAGAUUCUUAUUUUUCAACUUACAAAACGGGUAGUUCCAAGUUGAGAUUACCAACACAGCUCCCAGAGGUUCUGACACAAUUUCUGCUGAAGAAGGAUAGGCUGUCAUUGAAGUUUUGGCCUGAAAUGUUAGGAGAGAACGGCAUUAAACUAGCUUAAACUUGUUAUUAAAUAGAUAUAUUCACAGUUAGCAGUUCUUUCUUUUGCCAAAAGGUGAGUGGUUCUCUAGUUACCUUUUCUGGCUUCAUCCAUUGUUUCAAUUCUUUAAGUGCCUCCUCGCAAGACGAUUUUACCGCAGCAAUCUGUAUUAAACAUCAUAAGGACAAAUAUGCAAUACAUGAACGUGCAGAUCUCGGUACCAUAAAUAUAUGCAGAUAUUCCAUAUGUGCAAAUUACUGGACUGAAUUUGAAACUGCUUUUUACCAUCAAGAUAUCUACAGAGUUUUUUAAAACAGAACAAAAAAGCUAUAUAUGAAGAAUGCAAGCAUUGACCAUACCGAACAUUAUGGAGAAAUCAACAUAUAAGAAAUUAGAUUUAAACCUCAGAAACAAAGGCUUCAAACUCAGGCUUUGAGAGGUCCUUAUAAAGGGCUUCCGAAAUAUCCUUCUCCCUUUCCUCGACCAUCUUUUCAAUACCCUUCAAUUGUGACACUCGCCAUUCAUAACUCCUUGUCCUUCCAGUUCUGAAGCUUUCUUUAAGUUCCUUAACUAGCGAAGGAGCUUCAUUGGCAUCAAAAGGUUGCUUCUUUCCCUCUGUCAUUACCGGUGGAAUCGCAGAAGGGCUUUCAAAAAUUAAAAAUAAUAAAAACAUAGCAUAAAAACUCCCAAAAAGAAAAAUUAAAUGAGGCAACUGUGAAAGUAAGCACGCAUACGAGAGGCAAACACAGAGAGAUUUACGAAUGGGGCCUGAGCGAGGGAAGGAAAGGGUAGCUUCCUGCUUCUGAUUAGUCUUCUUUGGAUAACUGCUGGAGAAACUUCUCCUCACACCAGCAUCAACCACACUGUUCCGCAGGACGGUAACAAAAGGUAAAGAGUCAAGAAACAUGGCAACUGCCGGCCAGCUUAAGAUGUUGAGGUGGCCAAGAAGAUUUAUUCUCUAUUUUUAUAGAGAACUUGAAGAACCUUUAAUUAAAAAUCAAUUUCUUUGUUUCUUAACAAAACAUAAAUAAGACAAGAUAACCGCAUAAAAGAUUCUCUAAUACCAGGAGACAAUUAAUGUCUGAUCAUCUAAAACGCCAGCAUACAGAUAGAUACCAACUUUGGCAUCAAAGUGACUAUAACUCAUCGGAAUCUUGUUCAGAUUCUCAAGCCCAAGUAUCAGAUAAAAUAAAAUAAAACAAAACAGAAAAAUUGUAUUGCCUAACGUGUGACUCGAUUUCCAAUCCAAGCUUAACUAAACUAGCCCAGGAAUAGUGAUUACGAGUUAAUUAAUUAAUUUUAAUAAUCUUUUUUUUUUUUUUUUGUGAAGGUGAUUGAUAAUUUAUAGCAUACCCAUGUGAGUUCUCUUUAGUGGGAAUAGUGCAAGCAGGGAGGAUUAGUAAAACCUAAAAAAUCAAAUAGAUCCUCCAUUGGCAGACCAAUUCAUGUACAGUAAAUUACAAAAAAUUAUACCUCAUUAUAUUAAUUUUGCCGCCUAUCAAAUAAUCCCAGCUCCGUACUAUAUAUCAAAAUAACUUUCAUCUGAUGCAAGCACAGCACCCCGGUAGCCCACCCUAGAAAGAGCAAAUUGUUUAAAAUAGGAAAAGGCGAAUUAUGGCAGAAAAUCACUGUAGAAACAAUCUGAGAAGCUCUUUUAAUUUGUUCAAAAGAUAGAUAGUAUGCUUGUCUUGUGUCUUUCAUACAACAAUGAGGUGGGUGGUUCAACUCCUUGUUAAAAUGCCUCCAUAUCCAUAUGCUCUUCACUCAAUUUGAUGCUAUAAUGCUGGGAUUAAACCAGUAAUCUUGUGCAGUAUGCAGUUAUACUCUUUUUUUUAGCAGAUAUUAGAAUAAAAUUUUAUUCAUUGGGCAUGCAUCACCCAAGUGAAUAGCCCAACAGCAAGACCAUGGGAGGGGUGAAAUGGAAGUUUAAAAAUACGAGAAAUCAAUUCCCUGCACGUUGCUUAGGCCACUGGGCUCCAACUCCAUGUUUGAUAAGUUGAUAACUAGGAAUUGACAACAGAUCUUCACAUGUAAGAGCUUUUAUUAUAUUUACUAUUUAUUGGAUAACAAAUAGAUAUUUAUAUGUAUUUAUUUGUACUAUGAUUCCAGUUAAAUUUUCAUAUUGAUAACUUAACCUGGAAAGGAUGAUGCUUCAAUAACAUUGCAAAGACCACCUUACCAUAUAUUGCUUUGGCUGGGGAAAAUAGUUAUUUAUAUAUCUUUCUCAAUGAUUUCCUCUGGAGAAGAACCAAUUCCAAGUCAAAAAAAUCACUCGGAUGGAUGAACGGAAUUUGGAUGGUUUAACUUGUAGUCAAAAUGACGACGGGCCCAUUGUGUACUCUUUUUGGACAGAAGACCGAGAAGACACACCACCCUUCACUGUGAGAAGAUGCUUUAACACAAGUGGUCAGUUAAGGUAAGGCAAGGUAAGAGAAGAAUGAAAGCAAAGCAAAGCAAAGCAAAGAUGCUCCCACUAAAGCUGGUACGCUCUCUGGUCUUAGGAGAAACCAUCAACAACCCUCCUCCUCUCCUUUCCCACCAUCACCAUCACAAAGAUAUCAACACCAGCUACACCCACACCAGCAGCGACAAUAAUACAGACACAACAAAAACGAGAGCCAAGACGAAGACGAAGACGAAGACGAAGACAAAGACCCCACUACUUCUGUUCUUGCCAAAUAAAGAACUUGUUACAGAUACAUACAGACUAACCAAGAUUGCAAGAGACAUGGGCAUGGACUUAUAUCCAACACCAUCUCUUUCUCACAUUAUUUUCUCAUACCCAUCAUCAUGUACAUCACCAUCGACAUCGACAUCAACUCCAUGUACAUCAUCAGUAUCGUUAUCAUGGACAUCAACAUCAUCUUUGUUGCAUUUACCAAACAAUGCCAUUCCUUUACCAUUCCCUUCACUUUACUCUUCUUCUUUAACCCAUCUUCGCUCAUUUGUUUCACUCUCAAAAGGGUUGUUCAAGCUUGCGUUUAUCAACUCAAAACACACCAAUAAAGUUAUGGGUGGAUAUGAAAGCGACAGUCUUUAUGAUAGUAACUGGGAUUGUUGUUCAUUUUCUUUGUUUUGGAGGUUAACUGGUGAUAGAAUUGAUUCCAUGGAUAAAUUUUCAAGGGCUUUAGCUGGUGUUGGAUGGACUCUUUUCAAGACCAAGGAAAAUAACACACCAAGUGAUGGAAUUGGAGGCAGCAAGAUGGUGUAUUUGUUUAGGAAAGUGGACUCAAAGCCUGUUUAUGUGGUGUCACGAGGAAAUGGCGGGGAGUGUAGGAUAAGGGAAUUGAGGUUGCCUGCUUUGGAUUUUAGAAAUACUCCUUUGAGGAUCUUGCAUUACAUACUUCUCAUGACUGAUGAUAUCUUCUACCUUUCAUAACCGGGUAUGUUCUUACCUUAUUAUUUGGACUUGUUUUCUUUUUAAUUUACUCUUUUUAAAUUGGACUCGUUUUCUUUUUAAUUUACUCUUUUCUUUGUGUAUAUUGUCUGCUGCGUGCUAAUUGUUAAGGGGGUUUUAUGUUAUGUUAUGGGUUGGUGGAGAUUUUUGGGUAAAUCUAUUUUAUAUUGAUUUUCUUGAAAUUUAAAUGUGUGUCGAAUGGAAAAUGAUGAUCUUGAUUUUAGGAUUGUUAAUCUAACAGGUUUUACAAAUUUGACUACUUUUAAUGAAAUUUGCUUUGGACUAGAUUGUGUUUUAGGCCAGGGAGAAUGUGACAUUAUACCUAGGCAUGGAAUAGCAGGAAUGCUGAAUCAAUUGUGUUGGAGUAGUAUCUUCCAAAAUGAGUGCUUAGAAAGACAUUUUAUUCAUGUAUACUUCGCUCAUUGAAGCCAUUGAAUGAGCUCUAGACAUGUCAUUGGAUUAGUACUCACAGCCUAAAUGGGUGUCUCAAAUUCAAAGUUCAAACCGAGACAUGGGAAAUUUAUCAAUUUAGUUGGGCGGGGGAAAACGGAAAACGUAAACUAAAUCUUGAUCCCAAAUUGUUGGCGUCGGCUAUAUGAAUCUAUUUACAGUAUCUUGUCCAAUAUAGGUUCAGAUUCUCCUCGAAUUUUGUUGGUGCUGCAUCAUUUUAGAUGAUGGCAGCUAUCCUGUCGUGUCUGACCGAACUGAAAUGGAAUUUUUUUAUUUUUUCUUAACACGAGUAAAAGUGGGAUUGGAAUAGGCGACGAGAAGGGACUGAGUUUUUACUUAUUCGGAGGUUUGGUAUACAGAGGACAAGGUUGGCUUGUUAUUAUUAGAUGUGUGAAUUUCAUUCUGCAUUGUGAAGCAUCCACUCACUCUUGUGAUUGAUGCUAGUACCCUUUUGGGACAGAUGGAUGUACAUGAUAGAAACAUUAUAAGCAUGAGCAUGGCUGUGCUUGAAGCUAAAAAGAAAAUGAGUUCUGAAGUUAUCAUUCAUAAUAUUUAGUUAGUCAUAAUUAGUUGCUUAGACCAUAGUUGAUGUCAGUAGGAAACAAUAAAUCAAAGAUGCUGGGCUUUAUUGAAUGUUACUCUGAAAAUCUCAUUACUAGUUCUUUUAUAGCUCUGAAAAUGAGGAAAUUUUAGCAGUUACCAGGAAAAGAAAAGGGAUUCUGAUGCCAUUUGUUCCGUGACAUGUAUUAGAAUCCAGAGAGAAGCAUCUUUCUUCAGGGCUUAUCAUAAAUUUAUUUGGGGAAGUUAGUAUGAAGCAGGUUCAGUAUCUGGUAUAUUUUAACUUUGUUAAGCAAUUGCAAGUAAACUGUAAACACUUGAUUAUCCCGAAAACAAGCGCUCACAGCUAUGGUCUUCCUAGUUACAACUGUGAGAGUUAGACAACCCCUGGCUCGUUUGCUAGUGUGCUUGAUGUUAUAAGAAAACUAAAGAGUGUCCAUAAUGGAGUGGAUGAAAUUGUUCCCUGGAGAAAAACAUCUGUUGAUAUGUCAUUUAUUUGCAGACAAGGAGGGUGUGUCAUCAGGAGAAGUGUUCCUCGGAAUAAUGGAAGAGAAGAAUGGUGUGGUUCUUGUUGGUAACAAUCAAACAACACAAGGGUAGGGUGUGGGUUGGCAAAUUGUUGAUUCAAGAUAAAAUCAUAAUAUGGAAGGGUUGCCUGAUCCUUUUACGCUACUACUUCCCUGUGUUUCUCAUAUUAAUACUAUUUCUAGUUUUUAUAGACAAUAAUAAAGAAUCAAUCGACGUGAAGAUUGAAAAUGACGAGCUUUUUCAUCGAUACCUUGUAUGCGGAGCCAUGAACUUUGGUGUGGGUUUUAUGUCUACUUGCAGUCUGAUUGAUUCAGUGAUUUGCAUAAAGAGCUUUUCAUUGAAGCCACAAUGUUAUAGUACUGCUAAUAAUCAGGUAGUCAUCACGUAAAGAGCUUCUAGCUUGAUGUCUCCAUUCUUGGCUUUGCAUGUCAUGUAUAUGUAAAUCAAUCUGUCAUGGAACUGGAAUCUCAGGUGGCCCUUUCAUGCAAACAUAUUGCUUGAGUUUGUGUUUAUCUCUUGUGGUAAAUUGUAUGCUGACAUUGAAGAUUGAUGACUGAAUGACUACGCAUGUUACAGGUGGUGGACAGGGUGGAGAGAGAGGGAGCCUGUAAUGGAGUCAUAAAUUGCAUGAAGGGAUGGAGGCUAUUUGUUCAUAGGACUUUGAAGUACAAUAACUAACAAAAUCUCCUACUUUUUUUUAUUUUUGUGCCACAGUUUAUUAUGAUGGAAAAAACUACUGCACUUGACAGGAAAAAAGAAAAAAAAUAUUGCCUUAUUAUUAUUAUUAUUACUGCUAAUUUCACCAUGUCAUGAUGUUGUCAUGAUGUUUGUCGAUCAUGGAGAUAUGUGCUGGAUCAUUUGUUAAAUAUUGUUUUUUUAAGUAUUUAUUAUUUAAAAAUGUAUUAAAAUAAUAUUUUUAAUUUUUUUAACAUUAGCCUAUCAAAAGAAUUUAAGAACAUUAAAAAAAUAAUUUAAAACAAAUUAAAAAAAAGCUAUUCAAUCCAUCACUUAACACUUUCUUUUAAAGCGUGAUUUGCCCUUAAAUUGUUAGGGCUAUGGCAAAACAAGAUCUUAACUACUAAUUUAAUAAGCAAAUUAAGCUAUGUAAUAAAGAAUAAUGGACAAAUUUUGAUAAUUAUAAUUUUUUAUUGUGGUAAUAAUUAUUUUUUAAAAUAUUUUUUUUUUGAAAAUAUAUUAAAAUAAUAUUUUUUAUUUUUAAAAAUUUAUUUUACACGGAAUGCUAUAAAGAAAUAAUUUAAAAUAUUUUAUUGAUAAAAUAAUUAGAGUUUUUGUUUUAUAUAUAUAAAAAUAAAAGGCAAUUCAGCCUUGUCUUUUAACUAUUCAAAUAAAUUUUGAAAUGAUGUUGUCUGUCUCUAAAAAAUUAAAACGAUAUGUUGAUAAGUAUUAUUUUUUUCUUAAUUAUUUUGGUUUGUCAAAAAAAAGGAGUAAAAUAUGUCAUUAAACCGACAAUUUUGGCUCCAAAUAAUUCCAUCACUUUUAUUUCAUUAGGAAUCAAAUAAAAGUCUUGGAGGUCGAGGUCUCCUCAAUACUUCCACAGGUAGUUUACAAGGACACCAGAAGGCCACAAGGGAAAUAAGGGCAUUGGCAGAAAAGCUCUUGCCUCCUGUCAUGGCUUACUAUCACUAAUAACCAGUGCUGUGAGAUAAAAUUACCAGUUACAUUUUUGUAAAUGGAAUUUACUCAUCUGAUAGCAAUCAAACUAAAACAUGCUUUUGCUUUGGAUAGAUAUCAUGGCACUAGCUAUUGUUUUUGUGUUUAAUUAAAGUUAAAUAUCCAUCUCAACAAAAGAACAAAACACUCAAUUGUGACAAUCAAGUGGGGAUUACUAGAGGUCUACUGCACAUAAAUUCUGGACACAAACCGCCUGAGUACCAAACACAGUUUGCAAAUCCAUUUGAGAGAUUAAAACAUCAUCCAUGAAAGGCUGAAGUUGAGGAAGCUGAAUCUCGGGUCAAAUAAAUCUUUGUCCUCAAAUCCCAUGAUGUAAAGAUUUCUCAGAACAAGUUUUAACAACCAAUAAACAAAUGAAAACAAUCAGAUAAAAAUCAUUUUACUCUAAAAUGGCAGUUCCUGCUAAAAGCAUUCUAUCCCGAGCAAUGGUCUUGUCUAUUCACAUGAAUUACAGAACAAAUGCAUCAUAAUGAAGUUCUUCAAAGCCGCUGAUCAAAUUUUACCAUUUGGUGAAACCAAAUAUAAAAGAGUGGAAAAAAAAAAGAAACGAAAGGGGGGAAGAAAGAAGUUUACAUGCAUUUAUGAUCUCCGAGAAACUAUGUAGUAUGAGCAUCAUGUGUCCGUGACGCCCAUAUACCAAACACAAGAAACCAGAAGACAAAUAAGAUAGCCCAGUAGCGAGCAGGUCCAUAUUUGAUUCUGGUGAGCACAAUCUGCAAGUUGUAAAAGCAUAAACAUCAGCCCAGUUUCAUUUAUGUAUCAGAAUUCAGAACCAACAUGCACCAAAUUUCCUUCAAUGUUUUGCUUUACACAAUUCUAAAUUUUGCAAAAUUUGUUUCUGUAAGAGAUUCAAAAAAAUCAAAGAAAUGGAAAAUGAGCACAGAUUUUAAUAAGAGAAUUAGAGCACAAGCAAAUUAAGUCAGCUCUCCUGCUAUGCAAAUCACGUGUUGGCACUACGAUCAGUAAUAUUCCCAACAUUGCCAUACACCAAGCAUUUACGCAGCCUUGACAUUCAAUCACUGCCGAAAACAUGCUACAAAACCUAAUUUCUUAAAAUGGUUUCCUAUUGUUCAAAAAAGAAAAACCUCAUUACUUGCAGGCAGAGAAUUCCAGAGAAUUUAAAUUUCAAGCUAAUGUUUUGUUCUAAACCAUCACAAAGAAGGAAGAAGGGAAUUAUAGCCUCACAACGGGCAUAAAGCUGCUGGAAUUCUCUAUAUUUAUAAUUGGACAGAAACUAACAAUUUGUAUAUCUUUCUGUUAGACUUCUUCUAAAUACACCCUUCAGUACUUUGACUCUAAAAUACACAACAAAGGCCACAAGUUAUGACCAUUAAAGAACAUACCAUAAACGAGAAACCAGGACCAGCUUUUACUUUUCAGAAUGUACAGAAAUUUCCCCAAAAUUAUAAAAACACAGAAGCAGCAACCGAUUGACCUAAAUAAAGAUAUAUUAGGACAAAAAAGACUACAAUGUUCCAAUGGUGCAACUUCGAAAAUCAGAAAUCUACAUUUACUUUUCCUCGAAUCAUUUGCCAGCACCACUUCAUCAACCAAAUUAAGAUUUCACUCAGCCAGGUGUAUCAACACUAUCUAUCGAAAUAGUUAUAUUGAACAGAAGAGCACCAUUCUAUAAUCACAGGUUUCUGUGGAAACCUGAGGAUCAUGAUACCUACCGUCUACCAAGGUACUUAGGUCACAACACAAAUAUGCAUAUGCAUCCAUAGAUCAAAAGCAGUUAUGCUGAAAUACAGAGUCAGAAAGACUAAGAGAAAGAAGUUACUUACAAAGCGAAAGAAGAUCACAACUGUUAGAGCACAAAUGCCUCCAAGGAGAAUAUGAAGACCACUUUUGGCAGUUUUCUGGAGACAAGAGCUGAAUAAGUUGCAUAAUAAAACACAGAAUUCAGGUAGCUAAAGUCAUUAGCAUUCUUUUGCAACCAACUAGCAUGGAAUAACAUGCAGAGGCAUACAUAAAAGAAUCCGGAGCAACAAACAAAUUAGACAAUAAAAUAUCUCCAAAAUGCUAAGUGAAUCAUCUGUGCACCUAACUACCAAUUCCUCUCAAAUGAAUAAUAGUAAGAAUAGAAGAUUUGCACCAUCACUUUGUUUUUUUCUUUAUAUAUAUAAUUUAACAGUUUUAGGGAGGACGAGUUUGGACUGACUACCUCCCUUUCAAAGAAGAGUUAUGCUACCAAUUUGGAUAUGCCUUAACCAUUGGAAUUUCAUAUGGUGUAUGUGAAUGAUGACAAUGUUUCACAGCAUACAUCCUUCGCAAAACUUCCUAUAGCAAAGCUCAAGUUAUUGUGAUUCAUUUAAUAGCUAGACAAGAAAGAGAAAUAAGCAAUAAGGACUAAAGAUGGGAGAGAAUUGGCAGCAGGUCAAUGCUCAAACAAGGAUCUCCAAAGCUCUUCUAUUAAUUAGUAUCAAAGUUACUUCUGUUAGUAAUUUCAUCUCUUUGAUAGAGUUCACUUUCGCCCAAAGUGCUACAUCAGAAUUUCAUCAGUCUUAACACCAGCAAAAAUAAAUAAAUAUUGUAUAAAAGGCUCCAGCAUGAUUUUCUGGAUUUCAUUUUCAUAGCAUCAAAGAGAAAGCUUGGAGCUAUAUUCUACUUUACUAUACAGUGUAGCGUGCAAAACUAACUAAAAAUUCCUAGCCUGCAAAAUCCAAGCAAUAAUCUUUCAAAAAUGAACGUGUGUGUGUGUAAGUGAGCAGGGGGUUGGCACUAAUAGAAUGAGCAGGCAUAGUAAAUAGCAAACCAUGAAAAUGUUUAAAAGUACAGCUCCAGAUGAACCAAGAAUCAUUACACCAAACAGGUUCAGAGUGCAUCAAGAAAUAAUCCAUCCUCUUAUAAUGUCCGAGAGUGCCAUUUUGCUCACAAGCACCAAAUAUGACACAAAGUGUCAGUUGGCUAAAGAAGCCAAUUAUUCCAACUACCAGCAUCCAUGCCAGCCAGACAACAGCACAACUGAUUUGAAAAGAUCCAACACACCUUGAAUAGGAAACACAAAGCACCAAAUCCAAAGUAGCUAGACAAUAAAUGCAUUCAAAAAUUCACCAACACUCCACCCCAUUUACUGAUAGCAAGAAUGGUUUUCCUAUUCAUUCAUCCAUAAGAAGCCAAAUCCUCUAACCAGUUGCAGUCCUAAAGAAAGAAGCUAUACUUAGGAAGCCCAAGGGCACCAGAUAUCCUUCAAAGGAUAAUCUGUCCCCAAAAGCACUCAAAAACUCAGCGUUAGUAGCAUGCCCCUAAAGCCUAAAGUGCAUCUUCUCUAUGCCCUUCCAUCUGACCCUAGCCCAUUAAAACAGUUCGGAAGGUUCACUAUUAAUCCAGAUCCCUUGUUUUCAUGGUGUCAUCCCCCCCACCAUCCAGCAACCACCUAUGAUUAACUUUGAUAAAUCUCAAAUUCUAGGGAAUACCACCAUCAACACUUGUUGUGUGUCAUUGAUCAGUUCACAAACAUUAUGCCAAAUAGGCAAUGCAGUUGAGAACAUUCCCAACCUUCCAACUAAAGAAUUUAUAUAAGCAUAGAAGACUGACCAGCAUAAAAAUAUUCACCUUGUGAAGCAUCAGAACUCAGAAGCAUGGCACAACUGACAUCACAAAUAGAUUUAUAAACCAAAUAGAAACAAGACAAAAAGUUAACUCCAAACAGUUACGAGUACACAUAUCAAAACCUUCUAAGGGAUUCUGACCAAGCAAAAGUUAUAUAAAAAAAUUACAAAAAGUCUCCAUGAUGACAGAAUUAUAACUGAUUAAAGCUCAGGUCUCAAAGACUCAGGUUUCCCCAAAAAAAAAACAUAACUUCUGAGAACAACAAGAUCAAAGGGUUGGCUAGACAGACAAACUAAUGUUCAAGCCUCAUACAGCAUAACCAAGUGAAUUGAGGAGAUACAUGUGUGUGAACAUGUAUGUAGAUAAAUUGCAAAGACACACAUGCACAAAUGCAUGUACAAGAAUGGAAACUAAAAACUCAUAUGUAAUAAUUUAUCCUCGGACAUUCUUGGUUUUAUUCUUUUUGAUGUGAAGUCAAAAUCACAGUAGCCAAAGCAGUCAAAGACUCCAAGUUCAGAAAAACAUUAGAAGAUGUAUCUGCCAUUGUCAGUCAUCACACAACAGGAGGUGGCUAAAAGAACUCUUAACACGUUCUAGUUAUGACACUCAGGAUGUCAGACAUCGAAAGGGUGGUCUUUAUAUGGAUUAUGGGCUAAUCCACCCAGUACCUCAAACUUUGGGUUGUAGAACUCCAAAUGUGGUCUAAAGGUCUGGUUCAAGGUGCGACCAGACUCCAUGUGUCUAAUUUGUUUUGUUUGGGCCACCUAGAAGGCCAUUAGACUUGUUUCUAUUGGAAACAGAGUUUUAUAUAUGCACAGCCAAACAACAUGCAACAAUACAAGAAAAAAUGUUAAUUU